Molecule: ribosomal RNA, 921 nt
Filed under: uncultured bacterium
Lineage: Bacteria
Description: bacterial SSU rRNA
Rfam family: Bacterial small subunit ribosomal RNA
Source: RNAcentral
AGAGUUUGAUCAUGGCUCAGAACGAACGCUGGCGGCGUGCUUAACACAUGCAAGUCGAGUGCGCAGUCCCGUAGCAAUACGGGAUGGGCGCACGGCGCACGGGUGCGUAACACGUGGGCAAUCUGCCCUCCGAUGGGGAAUAACCCCGCGAAAGCGGGGCUAAUACCGCAUAACAUUCCUUGGACUAUGGUUUUAGGAUUCAAAGCAGCAAUGCGUCGGAGGAGGAGCCCGCGCCCGAUUAGCUAGUUGGUGAGGUAACGGCUCACCAAGGCAAUGAUCGGUAGCUGGUCUGAGAGGAUGGCCAGCCACACUGGAACUGAGACACGGUCCAGACUCCUACGGGAGGCAGCAGUGGGGAAUCUUGCGCAAUGGGCGAAAGCCUGACGCAGCGACGCCGCGUGGGGGAUGAAGCUUCUCGGAGUGUAAACCCCUUUCGACUGGGACGAAUGCCCGCAAGGGAGUGACGGUACCAGUAGAAGAAGCCCCGGCUAACUACGUGCCAGCAGCCGCGGUAAGACGUAGGGGGCCAGCGUUGUUCGGAAUUACUGGGUGUAAAGGGUUCGUAGGCGGUGUGGCAAGUCGGGAGUGAAAUCUCUGGGCUUAACUCAGAGGCUGCUUCCGAAACUGCUGUGCUUGAGUGUGGGAGAGGCGCGUGGAAUUGCAGGUGUAGCGGUGACAUGCGUAGAUAUCUGCAGGAACACCCGUGGCGAAAGCGGCGCGCUGGACCACAACUGACGCUGAGGAACGAAAGCUAGGGGAGCAAACAGGAUUAGAUACCCUGGUAGUCCUAGCCCUAAACGAUCAGGACUUGGGGUGCCGCCCGUUCGGGCGUCGUCCCGGAGCUAACGCGUUAAGUCCUGCACCUGGGGAGUACGGUCGCAAGACUGAAACUCAAAGGAAUUGACGGGGCCCGCACAAGCG